CCAGUGGAGAAAGAAAAUCAUACAAAAAUUCAAACAGGUUGGUAAAUCAUAAAUAAAAUCAAGGGUUCGAGGAGGAGGAAGAGGAGCAGGAAGGACAAGAGGAGGCGGCAGCUGUAGCGGGAGGCGGUGGCCCUGUAGCUGCCCCCGCCAGACGGAGACCAGACAGGAUCAAUAGUGGCAAUCCGCUCCCUCGCUCCCCUUGCUCUCUCUCUCUCUCUCUCUCUCUGUGUGUGUGUGUGUGUGUGUGUGUGUGUGUGUGUGUGUGUCCUGCCCUGUAGUCUCUCUCUCUCUCUCUCUCUCUCUCUCUCUCUCUCUCUCUCUCUCUCUCUCUCUCUCUCUCUCUCCCCUAGUUAAGUAUGCUUGUCCUGUGUUCCCCAAAUAUUAACAUUCCUCCACGUCGCGACGCCGCCACUUGCUGAAGGAAGCUGACGUGGGGACGGAAGGCGGAACACUGGGCUGCCAGAUGGUUGGCCACAGGUGGUUCACGGAGCAACAGGCAUCCAGCAGUGCCUCUAAGCAAACCACUUAACCACCCCCGAGGGAGAUUAGCGCACUAUGGUCAUGAUAAAAAAGGACCGUGUUGGACCGCAUCGCUUGUCCAUAUCCUUAUUAUGUAUGUAGGAAUCUUGUGUUAGUUUGUCCAUAUCCUUAUUAUGUAUGUAGGAAUCUUGUGUUAGUUUGAAGGCCAAUCUCAUCAGCACACACCUACACAUACAUAGCAUUCGUUAACGCACUCAAUACUUCCUACACACACUCAGAGCCUCACUCGCAGUCCCUUCCUCCUCGCCUUCACCAUCUGCUUGUAUUCAUUCCCACAAUCAAUACUCCUCACUGCCUGUAUUCCCUCCACCCGCGCCGCAUGAACCUUUUUACAACAAACCGGCAAUAUUCGAUAGCUGAACACUCCAUUAUCAGUAUUGCUUAGAACAGUGUGCGAGAUAUGAGAGCUACCAAAGAGAUCCGAGUAUAAUAUGGUGCAGGAAAAAUGUGUACCCAGUGGGCAAAAUGGCGACCCCGGCAUCACCCCGAAUGUACCGCGGAGGCAACGAGACCACAGCAUCCUCUCCUCUUCCAGCGAGGCGCUCAUCAUCGCACGCACUCCUGGAUCCCUCUCGUCGUUUUUGCUCAUCAACGCCGCGUCCCUGACCUUGGGAUCACCUGCUGAAGCCCCCGUCACAAGGAGCCUCGAAGGAACUCACACCGCCAGAAGAAAGGAGCAGCAGCCAGGGAGCGGGGGAAAUAGCAACGCUGGAAAAUACAUGAUCGCCAGCCAGCAACAAUGGAGGGAGGGUGGGAGGGUUGCUCACGGCCAAAAACACAUUUCCGCUCCACGUAGACUCUGCCAUCAACUGUGUAGUAUUUUUUUGUUCCUCCUUCCUCAUCCACUAAAUAAAGUUGGCUUCCAAAGUGGAAUGAUGGGACAAAAAAAUUCAGCUUUGACCACAAGAAGGGAACUAACUACAGCGCUAACAAAUCUUAUCCGAAGUUUUGUGACAGUUCUCGGAGGUAAACUAAACUUAUUUCAUGCGAUCGAAGUAUUAGGAGAAACAUUGGAGGCAAAAGGUUCCCCGGAGCGGCCGCCAUGGCUUCAUACACUGCCUGAUGUCUCUCAACCCAAGCGCUGCCACCAACAACCAGCACCAGGCAACUAUCUAGUCUAAACAUACAUUACUAUUCCAGGGACGAUAGAGCUAGGGGAGAUAACAGAUUUUAUAUAUAUGACCUAUAGAUUAUGGUCUGUUUAGUUAAUCGGGGAGGUUAUCUAGUGGCGCCAUACACUUAUAAGUUGGGUGAUGAGGGAGUGAGGGAAGGUUAUAAGUUGGGUGAUGAGGGAGUGAGGGAAGGUUAUAAGUUGGGUGAUGAGGGAGUGAGGGAAGGUUAUAAGUUGGGUGAUGAGGGAGUGAGGGAAGGUUAUAAGUUGGGUGAUGAGGGAGUGAGGGAAGGUUAUAAGUUGGGUGAUGAGGGAGUGAGGGAAGGGAGUGAAGACAAGAGGAAAGAGGAGGCAGUGUUGGUGUCUUGGGGAAACACGAUACACGCCGCGGGUAAGCCAACCUUCCGACCGCCUCUCACCACUCGCACAAGACACUCCGUCCACAGCUUGCCCUUCCCGAUGGUGACUUCCCACAUGUACGUACACACGCCCUGCCCUUUCAAAUAACGAGGAUGACUUCCCAACCACAGUCAUCUCAUUACUUUCGACACCUCAGCCCUGUUCUUCCCACUGACAAUGAAGGCUCCUACUCCCACCAUUUACGUUUUCAAUGAUGGUAGCCUCACCCCCUUCCCCUGUCCUUGCGAUGAUGAUGAUUACUUCCUAUACAAGACUUCUCCCAUGCGCUCAGUUCCUGCAUCUAGACAUCGUCGUUCUGGCACUUCGCUGUUAAUGUUGCUCAUGAUUCUCUUCCCGUUAGCAUUACCUCAUCCCUCUGCUGGAGUCACUCCCCUUCCACAAACAUCGUGUAGUUUAACGCAACCCCUUCAUGGAUCUGUGCACAAGCUAUUAAUUUCCUCCGCUGUCCCUUCACCCUCCUAUCAACUCCACUUAUAUAUAUGAUACGAUAAAACACUACCACAAUCAAGUGUUAAGUCAACAAGUCCCAUCCCUGCAAUACAUGCCCGAGGAGUACGGAGUAGGGAACCCCUGAAGUAUUCACGACUUACGAGCUCCUCCACGCCGCUUGCCGUUCCGCCCUGAUUAACACACAACCUAACCACUUCCAGGCUCGCCACGGGGUGCUCUCAGGAACCAUUACAGUGAUUUACUUCCAGGGAGUCUCCUAUUAACAUUUACCACAAGUUUUAUGACAUGACUGUGUUCGCCAAGUUGACUGACUGGGAGGACGAAGGUGUCACGUCUUCCCUGUUCUUAAUUUCACGCCCACUACAAGACACUGACAGGCCGUGACGUAAUGAGAUGCAAGCGAGAAACGUCUGCUGGCAGGCGCGGCAGACACGGACACGGGCCACCACUUGUAGGCCAGCAGAAGCAGCAGUCGCCGCCACCACUACCUCGGGGCUCGGGCCCUCUUCCGCCCUCCAGCGGAGACACCUGUGGCUACCUACAAUUAAUUAAGAAAGUUUCCGGUUUUCCUUGAGCGCUGGCGUUUCGAACAGUGAAACUAACCUACAAUUGUGGAACCCAGCGCCACAGCACUUGCCCGCGGAGGGAAACUCUACGGCACCAAAAUUAGUAUAAUUAAUCUGCUGAAUCUAAAGAGUAGCUAAGCUCCAUCAUUCUUGACUAAAAGCUAACCAACUCCAAACUGAAGAGUAUCAGCUGCGCCGUCCUGACACCAAGCCAUCUUCCUGCCAUUAUUACGGUACAUGAUUAUUGUAAAUGGUAAUCAGCCAAGCCACACCGUCCCGUCCCCAGACCACAGCGCCUGCGGCUCCACCAGCAGCACAAACACACGCGCUGGGGUGGUGGCACCAGCACCAGCAUGCUCGCACCCGCUGCUAGCUGUCCCGCCGCCGUCACUAUUGAUCGCGGCUAACGCUGGCAAAACACUGCUAACAAUACGGGAGGUGGAGGCGGCGGGCGAGGCAAGCACGGAUGAGCAACCCACCUGUUACGUGCCAUUAUUUCGCCCCCGCGUCGAGGCCAUGCGGAGCCUUCAACAUGCAGCGCCAGCCACACAGAGGCGCCCGCUGAGCGGCCCUGACGGGGCCUUGGCCAAGGAAACAAGGAGAUGAUUCCUCUCCCACCCGCCCAACCCCGCCCUGCAUCCCGCCCUUCGCCGCCAGCGCCAACCUUGACAAAUGCGAAGUUUCCUCUGCAUUUACAAGCGAGCGAUGCAAGCCUCAGUAAAUGCUUACAAGACAGCUGCCAAUAGCACUAAAUGUUUGCAAUACUGCAGGCAUUGUCAACCGGAUCAGUGGCUAAGUCAUCAGCAUGAACCCAGUCUUGGUGCCAGCCUCCACCAGUGGAAAAACCUCAUCAAGGCUUCACUUCAUAGCAAACCGGCUAUAUUCAUAACAAACACAGCCCGGGGAGGAGUUUCGGGUGCCGAGGAAUUCCCUCAGUUGAGAGACUGGAGGGAGCGAGGAGGGGACGGAGAUGCGAUCCUGUUACUGUAAACAUUCCUCCCGUGGGGCACAUUUGAGCCUGAACUGUUGACCAGUGUGUCCGAGGCAGCGCCGGCCUCUCGGGUGCCCCGCCCUCGCGUGGUGGCACUGGCCGGGCAGGGACGAGCUGCCACACGGCCAGGACCCGUGGUGUUGGGGGCAAAGGGCGAGGAUGAGAUUUCACGUACAAGUGUUGCACUUUUAAAAGGCUAAACAAGGGAUCUGAACCACGCUGUCGCCUCUGCCCUUCUUGUCUCCCCCUCGUGGGCAGCAUCAGUCCUGGCGGCCCCUUAAUUGCCUUCAGUGGCCAAUUAUUUCCUUACACACACACACACACACACACACGAUAAAUAUAUUAGCAUCGCAUAGUGCCACCCUAACUGACCCCUCCCUACCCCUCCAGCCGCCACCACCACUCGAGUGCCAUCUUCCCCUGCUCCCUCCCAUCCUCUCCCUCCACCCCCCCGACAAUCAACAAUGACUGCCAUUCCAACGCCCGACUUCCCUCCCGCCCUCUCUUCCUCGCUCGGUUAUCUCAGGCCACAUCUUCAUGACCCGCACCACUCACAUCAGCAGCUGCAACAACGCACCACCACAACCACCACCAAGAGCCACCGUCAGCACCAGCACCAGCGUGGCACCAUCUCAUUCCAACCACGAACGGAGCCACCUGUGGAGCACGCCAGCUUUCAGCCUCGUUCAGAUGAUGGCACCAAGAAAGAAAGCCCGGAGGAGGAUAAACCCAACCACGUCGCUGCCACGCUCCCUUGUGUAACCGGAGAGGCAUGAAGCUCCCUCCUCCUAUGCUACAGAUGCUCCUUUCUGUGUAGCGGCGGGGAGGAGGCGAGGGCAAGGCGGUGGAAAGGGAAAAAGGAAUGGUGGACGGGGCAGGAGAGCGGGACAGACCAGGGCAGGGAGGAUAACCAAGGAAAGGAAGGGCUCUGGGGCUGGGCUGGGAGGGUAGCAGGACGGGUAGGGCAGAGCAGGGCAGGGAGGAUCAAGGAAAGGAAGGACUCUGGGGCAGGGCUGUGGGGAGGGUGGGGGAGCAAGGGUAGAGCAGGAGGAUGAGUCAUGAUCAGAUGUUAGGCGACCAAGUGAAUAAUCAGCAGACUAGCUCACGCUCGUCCCUCCGACCCCACCAUUGUUCACUGCCAUACCCUCCCCAUCACUGAACGUUCAAUAUAAGCCUUCCACACACAUACAUCCACCGUCUCCACCAUACCACGGCCACUGUCAUCGCUCAUCCACACAAUGUUACAGUUAGCGUCGUCGCAACCCAUAACCCACAUAACCUAGCCCAGUCCCUCCCUUCAUCAACUCAAUCCACCCCACUCAGCUUUCAUACAUGUCUACAAAGAGCCACCACCACCACAGCAGAGGUCAUUCCCCAUCCACAACCACACACGCAAAGACCUCACCACAGCACCACCACUUCCAUAGCUUCCUCAGUUGCCGGCUACCACAUACACACGCUCACACAUACCUAUUGCUUACUUCCCUUCUACUACCAACAGACAAGACAGUCGCUAGUCCAUGACCACCAAACAAGAUAGGGUACAGCUGCCAGGCCUUCAGUUGUGUUUAGUUUUGGUGCGGGGUAAAAAGACACUUGGUACCCUUCGCUCCCCUCCACCCCACUACUACGGCCACCGCCCUACACAUUCCAGAGGCGCGACCACAAAAAACGGGACCAGCCAGGACGCGGAAAGGGGGAGCGCAGGGGGGGGGGGAGUGAGAUGGGGCGAGGGAGGGAGAGGAGAUGGGGUGAGGGAGGGAGGAAGGGACGCCGUUGCUGUGCCUGCCUCCUCUCUCUCUCUCUCUCUCUCUCUCUCUCUCUCUCUCUCUCUCUCUCUCUCUCUCUCA
Molecule: long non-coding RNA, 5928 nt
Organism: Eriocheir sinensis (Chinese mitten crab)
Lineage: Eukaryota; Metazoa; Arthropoda; Malacostraca; Decapoda; Varunidae
Exons: 2
Source: RefSeq, a predicted model, not a curated record